Molecule: transfer RNA, 72 nt
Filed under: Ovis aries (sheep)
Lineage: Eukaryota; Metazoa; Chordata; Mammalia; Artiodactyla; Bovidae
Rfam family: tRNA
About the family: Transfer RNA (tRNA) molecules are approximately 80 nucleotides in length.
Source: Rfam by way of RNAcentral
UCCUUGGUGGUCCAGGGGUUAAGACAUUACACUUUCACUGCAGGGGCAUGGGUUCGAUCCCUGGUCAGGGAA